GAUGAACGCUAGCGGCAGGCUUAACACAUGCAAGUCGAGGGGUAGGUUACUUCGGUAAUUGAGACCGGCGCACGGGUGCGUAACGCGUAUACAAUCUACCUUUUACAGAGGGAUAGCCCAGAGAAAUUUGGAUUAAAUACCUCAUAGUAUUUUUGAAUCGCAUGAUUUGAUUAUUAAAGUUCCAACGGUAAAAGAUGAGUAUGCGUCCCAUUAGCUAGAUGGUAAGGUAACGGCUUACCAUGGCUACGAUGGGUAGGGGUCCUGAGAGGGAGAUCCCCCACCACUGGUACUGAGACACGGACCAGACUCCUAC
RNAcentral lists this ribosomal RNA (313 nucleotides) under uncultured bacterium. Its description in RNAcentral is "bacterial SSU rRNA". It matches the Rfam family "Bacterial small subunit ribosomal RNA", at positions 28 to 342 of the family's 1533-position model. The record is from RNAcentral.